UUGAUUAUUUUGUUUUAGGCUCAGAUGGCUCAAGGUAGCAAGAGUUUUGGUGUCCUCCGGCGGGCACCCGGCGCACGCCGGGCUGGCGGCCCCGCCCUGGGGCUGCCCGCCGAAGCAACGACAGAGGUAUGUUCACAUGGGUUUUUAGGGGUUUGAUCCCUUCUGUAAUGAUCCCUCCGCUGGUUCACCAACGGAGA
This 197-nucleotide unclassified non-coding RNA is filed under the name uncultured fungus. RNAcentral describes it as "sequence contains ITS1". The record is from RNAcentral. Lineage: Eukaryota; Fungi.